AGAGUAUAGCUCAAGUGGUAGAGUGCUUGCUUAGCAUGCAUGAGGUCUUGGGUUCAAUCCCCAGUAACUCUU
This 72-nucleotide transfer RNA is filed under the name Camelus bactrianus (Bactrian camel). It matches the Rfam family "tRNA". From Rfam's summary of the family: Transfer RNA (tRNA) molecules are approximately 80 nucleotides in length. Their secondary structure includes four short double-helical elements and three loops (D, anti-codon, and T loops). RNAcentral also lists the same sequence under 1 other name. Lineage: Eukaryota; Metazoa; Chordata; Mammalia; Artiodactyla; Camelidae. The record is from Rfam by way of RNAcentral.